GCUGGGCAUGGUGGUGCAUGCCUGUAGUCCCAGCUACUCGGGAGGCUGAGGCAGGAGGAUCGCUUGAACCCAGGAGGUGGAGGUUGCAGUGAGCUGAGAUCAUGCCACUGCACUCCAGCCUGAGUGACAGAUUGAGACUCUGUCUCAA
RNAcentral lists this non-coding RNA (148 nucleotides) under Homo sapiens (human). Lineage: Eukaryota; Metazoa; Chordata; Mammalia; Primates; Hominidae. The record is from Rfam by way of RNAcentral.